GACAGAGGUGCCAAGCGUUAGGCGGAAUCACUGGGCUUAAAGCGUGUGUAGGCGGAUCGUUAAGUACCUUGUGAAAUCCCACCGGCUCAACCGUGGAACUGCUCGGUAUACUGGCGGUCUUGAGCCACCUAGGGCAACUGGAACGAAGCGGUGGAGCGGUGAAUGCGUAGAUAUCGAGAGGAACACCUGCGGCGAAGGCGGUGCUGGCUGACACUGACGCUGAAGCGACGAAAGCUAGGGGAGCGAACGGG
This 251-nucleotide ribosomal RNA is filed under the name uncultured bacterium. RNAcentral's name for it is "partial 16S ribosomal RNA". It matches the Rfam family "Bacterial small subunit ribosomal RNA", at positions 524 to 776 of the family's 1533-position model. The record is from RNAcentral.